RNAcentral lists this ribosomal RNA (253 nucleotides) under uncultured bacterium. Its description in RNAcentral is "partial 16S ribosomal RNA". It matches the Rfam family "Bacterial small subunit ribosomal RNA", at positions 524 to 776 of the family's 1533-position model. The record is from RNAcentral.
UACGGAGGAUCCAAGCGUUAUCCGGAUUUAUUGGGUUUAAAGGGUGCGUAGGCGGCUUAUUAAGUCAGUGGUGAAAGCCUUCAGCUCAACUGAAGAACUGCCAUUGAUACUGAUGAGCUUGAGUAUAUUUGAGGCCGGCGGAAUGUGUCAUGUAGCGGUGAAAUGCUUAGAUAUGACACAGAACACCGAUUGCGAAGGCAGCUGGCUAAACUAUAACUGACGCUGAUGCACGAAAGCGUGGGGAGCAAACAGG